GUGGCGAACGGGUGAGUAACGCGUGAGAAUUUGCCUUUAGGAAGAGGACAACAAUUAGAAAUAGUUGCUAAAACUCUAUAUGCCGCAAGGUGAAAAAAGCAAUUUGCCUAAAGAGAAGCUCGCGUCUGAUUAGCUAGUUGGUGGGGUAAAGGCCUACCAAGGCGACGAUCAGUAGCUGGUUUGAGAGAACGAUCAGCCACAUUGGAACUGAGACACGGUCCAGACUUCUACGGAAGGCAGCAGUGAGGAAUUUUCUGCAAUGGGCGAAAGCCUGACAGAGCAAUACCGCGUGAAGGAUGACGGCCUAUGGGUUGUAAACUUCUUUUAUCAAGGAGGAAGAACUGACGCUACUUGAUGAAUAAGCAUCGGCUAACCCUGUGCCAGCAGCCGCGGUAAUACAGGGGAUGCAAGUGUUAUCCGGAAUCAUUGGGCGUAAAGCGUCUGUAGGCGGAUAUUUAAGUCUUUUGUUAAAGAUCUAGGCUUAACCUGGAAAAUGCAAAAGAAACUAUAUAUCUCGAGUAUGGUAGAGGUAAAGGGAAUUUCCAGUGGAGCGGUGAAAUGCGUAGAGAUUGGAAAGAACACCAAGAGCGAAGGCACUUUACUGGGCCAGUACUGACGCUGAGAGACGAAAGCUAGGGGAGCGAACAGGAUUAGAUACCCUGGUAGUCCUAGCUGUAAACGAUGGAUACUAGAUGCUGUGUAUUUUCCGAAAUAUACAGUGUCGUAGCUAACGCGUUAAGUAUCCCGCCUGGGA
This 754-nucleotide ribosomal RNA is filed under the name uncultured bacterium. Its description in RNAcentral is "bacterial SSU rRNA". It matches the Rfam family "Bacterial small subunit ribosomal RNA", at positions 95 to 878 of the family's 1533-position model. The record is from RNAcentral.